Molecule: long non-coding RNA, 1052 nt
Filed under: Callithrix jacchus (white-tufted-ear marmoset)
Lineage: Eukaryota; Metazoa; Chordata; Mammalia; Primates; Cebidae
Description: lncRNA (ENSCJAG00000083765.1)
Source: RNAcentral
UAUGAAAAUGAAGUGGGCAGGAAGGCCCAGGGUCCUGGGGCCAGUGCCUGCUGGGUGUCCACGGGCUGGUCUCCUUGGUCUCCACACCCACCCACCUGCCCUUUCCUGACCAUCCAGCCCCCCGGCAGCCUGACCUCACCCACCCUGCCCUGCCCAGCCAACCUCCACCCCUAGCCUGGCAGCCUGACCCCACCCAUGCUGCCCUGCCCAGCCAGCCCCCCCCAACCCCACCCACGCUGCCACAUCCUGCCCUCAUUGCCUCGCCCCAGAUCCUAAGAGCCACGGGCAAUCGUUCUCACUCACUGGCCAGGCAGGGAGCCGAAGUGUGAUUUAAUUAAUUAACAGGUCCUCGGCGGCAGCGGGGAGCAAGUUUUCAGCACGACCCAGUUUGACUGCUACACAGGAACAAUCGGCAGGCAGGUGCCUGAGCCCGGCCUCCCGUCCCAGAGUGCCUGUGGGUGCAAAGCCAGCUCACUCCCUGGUCCCUCCCUCUCCCCCACCAUGUAGGGCCUGCAGAGGACCUGAGGAGCUCGGCUGUCAGUUUCAGGCUCCCACCCAGCACCCUGGCUGUCCUGGCCCCGGGCACUGCAGAUGCAGGUGGCUGGUGGAGAGCGUUGGUAAAGAAUGAGUCUGGGGGCAGAGCUGGACUCUGAGAGGGUGACCACUUCAGGUGGCCUGGCAUCCAAACCCAGCCCCUCCUGGACACACCCCUGCCCUCUGGCUCAGUCUCUGAUCCCUGUAAAGUGGGACAAGCAUCCCCACCUGAGCAUGUGCAGAUAAGCGAGGUGCCAUUCCAGGACCUGGCAGGGGCCAGCGGAGGUGAUCUUCCUGCCUUGGCCUCCCAUGGUCCUGGGAUCGCAGGUGUGCGCCCUGUGUCCAGCUUGUGCUUAUGUGUAACCAUCAGCAUAGUGAGGACACAGCACAGUUUCUUCCCCCGCCCGGUGCCUCUGGCUCCCAGCUGUGCCUCGCCCCGCCCCUGCCGCCUGCAACUGUGCGCGUGAUCUCUGCCGCUGUAGACCUGCCUUCCUGAGAACAUCACGCGGAUGGAGUCA